AGGAUGUGGCUCAGAGGUAGAGCACUAAUCUAGCAUGCGGGAGGCCCUGGGUUGAAUCCCCAGCACUG
This 68-nucleotide transfer RNA is filed under the name Marmota monax (woodchuck). Its description in RNAcentral is "tRNA.Ala". Lineage: Eukaryota; Metazoa; Chordata; Mammalia; Rodentia; Sciuridae. The record is from RNAcentral.